RNAcentral lists this ribosomal RNA (963 nucleotides) under Triticum aestivum (bread wheat). RNAcentral describes it as "partial small subunit ribosomal RNA". Lineage: Eukaryota; Viridiplantae; Streptophyta; Magnoliopsida; Poales; Poaceae. The record is from RNAcentral.
AUGGCGGCCACGCUGCCGCAGCUGGACGACGGCAUCGUCCGCAGCAUGGCCAUCGGCGCGGUCUUCACCGACUACGCCGGGAAGAUAAGCUGCCUCGAUUUCCACCGCAAGGAGGACCUCCUCGUCACCUCCAGCGAGGACGACUCCAUUCGCCUCUACAACACCACCAGCGCCACGUUGUCGAAGACUACUUAUCAUAAAAAACAUGGUGCUGACCGUGUCUGUUUUACUCAUCAUCCGAGUUCCAUAUUAUGUUCAUCAAGAUACAAUGUGGAGUCAGGAGAAUCACUUCGUUACCUGUCAUUGUAUGACAACCGUUGCUUGAGAUAUUUCAAAGGACACAAAGACAGGGUUGUUUCACUAUGUAUGUCACCUGUCAAUGAUAGCUUUAUGUCGGGGUCACUUGAUCACAGUGUCAGAAUAUGGGAUCUUCGUGUAAAUGCUUGUCAGGGUAUACUGCGUCUGCGUGGUAGGCCUUCUGUUGCAUAUGAUCAGCAGGGACUUGUUUUUGCUGUAGCAAUGGAGGGAGGUGCUAUUAAGCUGUUUGAUUCUCGGUCAUAUGACAAGGGUCCAUUCGACACUUUCUUGGUUGGUGGAGAUACGGCUGAAGUGUCUGACAUUAAAUUCAGCAACGAUGGCAAGUCUGUGCUUUUGACUACAACUAACAACCAUAUAUAUGUUCUAGAUGCAUAUGGAGGGGAGAAGAAGUGUGGCUUCAGCUUGGAGUCAUCUCGCAACAUAGCAACUGAAGCUGCUUUCACUCCAGAUGGUCAAUAUGUAAUUUCAGGAUCUGGUGAUGGUACCUUGCAUGCUUGGAACAUCAAUACAGUACAGGAGAUUGCCUGUUGGAACAGUCAUAUUGGUCCUAUCACUGCUUUGAAAUGGGCCCCUCGUCGAGCUAUGUUCGCAACUGCAUCGACAGCACUGACUUUCUGGAUUCCCAACGAAUCCAGUUCGAGUUAG